RNAcentral lists this unclassified non-coding RNA (368 nucleotides) under plant metagenome. RNAcentral describes it as "partial contains 5.8S ribosomal RNA, internal transcribed spacer 2, and large subunit ribosomal RNA". The stretch from base 1 to 105 matches the Rfam family "5.8S ribosomal RNA", at positions 50 to 154 of the family's 154-position model. The record is from RNAcentral.
GAAAUGCGAUAAGUAAUGUGAAUUGCAGAAUUCAGUGAAUCAUCGAAUCUUUGAACGCAACUUGCGCUCCUUGGUACUCCGAGGAGCAUGCCUGUUUGAGUGUCAUUUAAUUCUCAACCCCUCCAGUUCUUUUUGACUGGUUAGGAGGCUUGGAUGUGGGGGGAUUAACUGCGGGCCUCCUCAGAGGUCGGCUCCCCUGAAAUGCAUUAGCGGAACCGUUUGCAGAACCGUCACUGGUGUGAUAACUAUCUACGCCAAAGGACAUCUGCUCUCUGAUUAGUUCUGCUUCUAAUUGUCCUUCACUUUGGACAAACCAUAUACUCAUUACUUGACCUCAAAUCAGGUAGGACUACCCGCUGAACUUAAGC